GGAGCACCCUUUGGGGUGUGACUGCGUACCUUUUGUAUAAUGGGUCAGCGACUUAUAUUCUGUAGCAAGGUUAACCGAAUAGGGGAGCCGGAGGGAAACCGAGUCUUAAUUGGGCGUUAAGUUGCAGGGUAUAGACCCGAAACCCGGUGAUCUAGCCAUGGGCAGGUUGAAGGUUGGGUAACACUAACUGGAGGACCGAACCGACUAAUGUUGAAAAAUUAGCGGAUGACCUGUGGCUGGGGGUGAAAGGCCAAUCAAACCGGGAGAUAGCUGGUUCUCCCCGAAAGCUAUUUAGGUAGCGCCUCGUGAAUUCAUCUCCGGGGGUAGAGCACUGUUUCGGCUAGGGGGCCAUCCCGGCUUACCAACCCGAUGCAAACUGCGAAUACCGGAGAAUGUUAUCACGGGAGACACACGGCGGGUGCUAACGUCCGUCGUGAAGAGGGAAACAACCCAGACCGCCAGCUAAGGUCCCAAAGUCAUGGUUAAGUGGGAAACGAUGUGGGAAGGCCCAGACAGCCAGGAUGUUGGCUUAGAAGCAGCCAUCAUUUAAAGAAAGCGUAAUAGCUCACUGGUCGAGUCGGCCUGCGCGGAAGAUGUAACGGGGCUAAACCAUGCACCGAAGCUGCGGCAGCGAACGUAUCACCCAAGACAACUUUGCGGAGUUGACGAUUGACGGAGCGAAGCGACGUCAAAGCGUUCAUUAAAGUCGAGUUGGCUUAGGGAUACGUUCGUUGGGUAGGGGAGCGUUCUGUAAGCCAGUGAAGGUGUGUCGUGAGGCAUGCUGGAGGUAUCAGAAGUGCGAAUGCUGACAUAAGUAACGAUAAAGCGGGUGAAAAGCCCGCUCGCCGGAAGACCAAGGGUUCCUGUCCAACGUUAAUCGGGGCAGGGUGAGUCGACCCCUAAGGCGAGGCCGAAAGGCGUAGUCGAUGGGAAACGGGUUAAUAUUCCCGUACUUGGUGUUACUGCGAAGGGGGGACGGAGAAGGCUAUGUUGGCCGGGCGACGGUUGUCCCGGUUUAAGCGUGUAGGUGUGUGUUCCAGGUAAAUCCGGUUCACUUUAACACUGAGGCGUGACGACGAGGCACUACGGUGCUGAAGCAACAAAUGCCCUGCUUCCAGGAAAAGCCUCUAAGCAUCAGGUAACAUCAAAUCGUACCCCAAACCGACACAGGUGGUCAGGUAGAGAAUACCAAGGCGCUUGAGAGAACUCGGGUGAAGGAACUAGGCAAAAUGGUGCCGUAACUUCGGGAGAAGGCACGCUGACACGUAGGUGAAGUGAUUUACUCAUGGAGCUGAAGUCAGUCGAAGAUACCAGCUGGCUGCAACUGUUUAUUAAAAACACAGCACUGUGCAAACACGAAAGUGGACGUAUACGGUGUGACGCCUGCCCGGUGCCGGAAGGUUAAUUGAUGGGGUCAGCGCAAGCGAAGCUCCUGAUCGAAGCCCCGGUAAACGGCGGCCGUAACUAUAACGGUCCUAAGGUAGCGAAAUUCCUUGUCGGGUAAGUUCCGACCUGCACGAAUGGCGUAAUGAUGGCCAGGCUGUCUCCACCCGAGACUCAGUGAAAUUGAACUCGCUGUGAAGAUGCAGUGUACCCGCGGCAAGACGGAAAGACCCCGUGAACCUUUACUAUAGCUUGACACUGAACAUUGAGCCUUGAUGUGUAG
This 1666-nucleotide ribosomal RNA is filed under the name Salmonella enterica. Its description in RNAcentral is "partial 23S ribosomal RNA". It matches the Rfam family "Bacterial large subunit ribosomal RNA", at positions 576 to 2141 of the family's 2925-position model. Lineage: Bacteria; Pseudomonadati; Pseudomonadota; Gammaproteobacteria; Enterobacterales; Enterobacteriaceae. The record is from RNAcentral.